UAAUUUAGACAUAAUAAAAAGUUCAUUAUGUUAGGAUUGGAUUAGAUUUGUAGUUGAAUCCUACUUGGAUUAGGAUUAAUAUUUAAAAGGUAAAUUGCACUGUUACCCCUUGAACUUUUGAUGGGUUUCACUUUACCCCCUCGAAUUCUUAAAAUGGACGUCUAACAUCCUAAGCUCUAAUAUUUCAUUCAUGUUACCCCUUUUGUCAGUUUUCCGUCAAACUUCGUUAACCAAAAAUUGAUGGAAGGGGUAACACGAAUGAAAUAUUAGAGUUUAGAGUGUUAGAUGUCCAUUUUAGGAGUUCAGGGGGUAAAGUAAAAUUUCACCAAAAGUUUAGGGUUCAUAAUGCAAUUUACCCUAUUUAAAUCUGUUGGAGAUAAAUUAAGAUUUAAAUAUUAAUUAGAGUAGAAAUCUAAUUGGGUUAGAAUUUGUGUAGUUUUUUAUGUAAGCUAUAAAUAUAGCAUACGUGCUAUUAAUGUAGUGGUGGUACGGAUUAGCCACACCCAUAUGG
RNAcentral lists this long non-coding RNA (511 nucleotides) under Ananas comosus (pineapple). RNAcentral describes it as "long non-coding RNA (ACOM_LNC028996)". Lineage: Eukaryota; Viridiplantae; Streptophyta; Magnoliopsida; Poales; Bromeliaceae. The record is from RNAcentral.